GACGAACGCUGGCGGCGUGCUUAACACAUGCAAGUCGAACGGAAAGGCCCUGCUUUUGUGGGGUGCUCGAGUGGCGAACGGGUGAGUAACACGUGAGUAACCUGCCCUUGACUUUGGGAUAACUUCAGGAAACUGGGGCUAAUACCAGAUAGGAGCUCCUGCUGCAUGGUGGGGGUUGGACAGUUUCGGCGGUUGGGGAUGGACUCGCGGCUUAUCAGCUUGUUGGUGGGGUAGUGGCUUACCAAGGCUUUGACGGGUAGCCGGCCUGAGAGGGUGACCGGCCACAUUGGGACUGAGAUACGGCCCAGACUCCUACGGGAGGCAGCAGUGGGGAAUAUUGCACAAUGGGCGGAAGCCUGAUGCAGCAACGCCGCGUGCGGGAUGACGGCCUUCGGGUUGUAAACCGCUUUCGCCUGUGACGAAGCGUGAGUGACGGUAAUGGGUAAAGAAGCACCGGCUAACUCCGUG
This 468-nucleotide ribosomal RNA is filed under the name uncultured bacterium. RNAcentral describes it as "partial 16S ribosomal RNA". It matches the Rfam family "Bacterial small subunit ribosomal RNA", at positions 28 to 507 of the family's 1533-position model. The record is from RNAcentral.